Molecule: ribosomal RNA, 508 nt
Filed under: uncultured bacterium
Lineage: Bacteria
Description: partial 16S ribosomal RNA
Rfam family: Bacterial small subunit ribosomal RNA
Source: RNAcentral
GACGAACGCUGGCGGCGUGCUUAACACAUGCAAGUCGAACGGGCCUUGUCCCCUUUUUUUUUGGGGGGGGGGUUAGUGGCGAACGGGGGGGUAAAACGGGAGUAACCUGCCCCUCACUCCUGGAUAACCGCUGGAAAGGUGGGCUAAUACGGGGUGUUCUGGCCUGCUCGCAUGGGUGGGUUUGGAAAGAUUCGACCGGUUUUGGUGGUUUUGGUGGGGGAUGGGCUCGCGGCCUAUCAGCUUGUUGGUGGGGUGAUGGCCUGCCAAGGCUUUGACGGGUAGCCGGCCUGAGAGGGUGGGCGGUCACACUGGGACUGAGACACGGCCCAGACUCCUACGGGAGGCAGCAGUGGGGAAUAUUGCACAAUGGGCGCAAGCCUGAUGCAGCGACGCCGCGUGAGGGAUGGAGGCCUUCGGGUUGUGAACCUCUUUCGCCAGUGAAGAAGGUCCUGCUCUUUGUGGUGGGGUUGACGGUAGCUGGGUUAAUGAAGCGCCGGCUAACUACGUG